CCUGCGCGGCUCUCUUCCCGCCGGCUGCGAUAAGGCGGCGGUGCCGGCAGGGGGCGCCGGGGCCCCGCCCCGCCCCUUCCCCUGCGGCCACGGUCGGUUCCGGCGGCGGCCGGGGCCUGCAGCAGGGCGCGGAGCGGAAGAUACUUUCUCCACAUUUGGAUGUUGUAUAGCAAUCAAUUUCUUAGAUAUUAGUCCUCUUGCUGAUAUUGAAGAUUACCUCUAGUAAGUUGGGUGGGCCAGGGCUCUUUUUAGUAUUUUCAACAUGUAAACAUUUUAUGCAUUUUGGGGAGAAGUCCUCCAGAGUCUUCCUCAAAAAGCCCACUUCAGGGGUAAUCUCCAACAAAAGAUGGCAGGAGCUGGCUCUAAAAAUGCCACUUCCUGUGUCAUGUCGACCACUUGACAGUGACUCAAAGUGCUGAUCGUCCCUCCUUAUGGGGUGAACUCCAUUACUCUUCUAUCCCAAGGAAUGAGGCUGAAGCAAAAUGAAUGAACAUCCUAAAAAGAGGAAAAGGAAGACUUUACAUCCUUCACGUUACUCAGAUUCUUCAGGUGUAAGCAAAUAUAUAGACAACAAUGGAAUCUUUUCUGACCACUGCUAUAGUGUCUGUUCUAUGAAACAGCCAGACAUUAAAAUUUCUGAAAACAGAGGUAGAUUCCAUGCUCCUGCACAGACCCUAGAUACUGAUGAUGAUGGCAGCCCAGUGCAUGCCGGGACAUCUCAUUGGAGUGGGGCACAGUCGAAUGUCAUGGGGUUGCACUUUACAGACCCAAAAAAGAAAGAGAAAAGUGCUAAUAAUGGAAUUUAUAAAGACAUGUGCGAGUCUCCUAUAUUUGGUGACAGUCCAACUGAAGAGGAGAAACCCAUAGAUAUUCAAACCAUAGAAAUUUCGACUACAGAAGUUAAUGCUGUAGAAGUUCAUGAUAUAGAGACGCAAACUGUUUCACCUGAAAAGUUAGAAGUUGAAGAUGUUGAAGAAAUACCUGUUGAAAGCUGUAAACUUUUUGAGAAGAACCAGGCCUUGAAUAUCACUGCUCAGCAGAAGUGGCCUUUGCUGAGAGCCAACAGUAGUGGCCUAUACAAGUGUGAGCUGUGCGAGUUUAAUAGCAAGUACUUCUCUGAUUUAAAGCAGCAUAUGAUCCUGAAGCAUAAGACAUGUACAGAUACCAAUGUCUGCAGAGUAUGUAAAGAGAGUUUCUCCAGCAAAGUUCUGCUGAUUGAACAUGUAAAAAUACAUGAGGAAGAUCCCUACAUCUGUAAAUACUGUGACUACAAAACAGUGAUAUUUGAGAACCUCAGUCAGCACAUAGCAGAUACUCAUUUCAAUGACCAUCUUUAUUGGUGUGAGCAGUGUGAUGUGCAGUUCUCCUCGAGCAGCGAGUUGUACCUGCAUUUCCAGGAACACAGCUGUGAUGAACAGUAUCUGUGUCAGUUUUGUGAGCAUGAAACCAAUGAUCCAGAAGAUUUGCAUAGCCAUGUGGUGAAUGAGCAUGCAUGUAGAUUAAUAGAGUUAAGUGAUAGCUAUAGCAACAAGGAGCGUGGACAGUACAGCCUCAUAAACAAAAUUAGCUUUGACAAAUGCAAAAACUUCUUUGUAUGCCAAGUGUGUGGCUUUAGGAGUAGGCUACAUACGAAUGUCAACAGACAUGUAGCUAUUGAACACACCAAAAUAUUCCCCCAUGUUUGUGACGACUGUGGGAAAGGCUUUUCAGUGUCUGUCCUGGGAAGUGGGGAGGGGAUGAAGAACUCCCUGGAGUUAUGCACCCACUCCAAAGGCCUACGAAGGGAGAGAAAAGGAUGCUUCUGCAGGCCUUGGGUGGAGAGGGCAAGGAGAAAGAACCCGAGGUCCUGCAUGAGUUGCAUAAUGGCAGAAACUACUACCUCCCCCCUGAAACACUUUGUGCUGGCUAAAAAGACAAUUACUACUAUCUUUAACCAACUGCUGGACUAUGUCACUGAAGGAGCAAGUUUUGUUGAAGCAACAUACAGGAACCCAGAACUUGAAUAUGUAGCAACUAAAGAAGAACUGGUGAAAAUACAGGCAUAUAAAAACAAAUUGGCAGACAUCGGUGAGGUGCUUUCACGGAGACACAUGAAAGUUGCAUUUUUUGGCAGAACAAGCAGUGGAAAGAGUUCUGUCAUUAAUGCAAUGUUGUGGGAUAAGGUCCUUCCUAGUGGGAUUGGCCACACAACGAAUUGCUUUCUCAGUGUAGAAGGAACAGAUGGUGAUAAGGCUUAUCUCAUGACUGAAGGAUCAGAUGAAAAGAAGAGUGUCAAGACUGUUAAUCAACUUGCUCAUGCGCUUCAUAUGGAUAAAGACCUGGAAGCUGGCUGUCUUGUCCAUGUCUUUUGGCCCAAGGCAAAGUGUGCUCUCCUGAGAGAUGACUUGGUUUUGGUGGACAGCCCUGGUACAGAUGUCACUACAGAGCUAGACACCUGGAUUGACAAAUUUUGUUUAGAUGCUGAUGUCUUUGUCUUGGUUGCUAAUUCAGAAUCAACUCUCAUGAAUACGGAAAAGCACUUUUUUCACAAAGUAAAUGAACGACUUUCCAAGCCAAACAUCUUCAUCCUGAAUAAUCGCUGGGAUGCAUCUGCAUCAGAGCCUGAAUAUAUGGAAGAUGUGCGCAGGCAGCACAUGGAGCGCUGUCUGACCUUCCUAGUUGAUGAGCUCAAAGUCAUUGAUCUCUCAGAAGCACAGAACCGCAUCUUUUUUGUUUCAGCCAAGGAAGUUCUUAGUGCUAGAAAGCAGAAGGCCCAAGGGAUGCCAGAGAGUGGUGGUGCGCUAGCUGAAGGAUUUCAGACAAGAUUUCAGGAAUUCCAGAAUUUUGAGCAAAUAUUUGAGGAGUGUAUCUCGCAGUCAGCCGUGAAAACCAAGUUUGAACAGCACACUAUCAGAGCUAAACAGAUAAUAGAUACUGUGAAAAACAUUAUGGACGCCAUAAAUGUGGCAGCAGCAGAAAAAAGAGUUCAUUCAAUGGAAGAGCGAGAGGACCAGAAAGAUAGGUUGGAAUUUGUUCAAAACCAACUGAACAUUUUAACAGAGGAUAUUAAGAGAAAAAUCAAACAGGUUACUGAGGAAGUAGAGAACAAGGUUUCUUCUGCAAUGACUGAUGAGAUUUGUCGACUCUCUGUUUUGGUUGAUGAAUUUUAUUCUGAUUUUCACCCUUCUUCACAAGUAUUGAAGGUGUAUAAAAGUGAGCUCAACAAGCACAUAGAAGAUGGUUUGGGAAGGAACCUGGCUGACCGUUGCUCCACUGAAGUCAAUCAAUCAAUGCAUCAGUCACAGCAGGAAAUGAUUGAAAAUCUGACACCAUUAUUACCUUCUGGUGUUCAGAAUCAGCUCCAGUUGCUAAUUCCAUGCAGGAAGUUUGACCUCAGUUACGAUUUGAACUGUCACAGUCUGUGUUCAGAUUUUCAAGAGGAUAUCACGUUCCGCUUUUCCCUGGGGUGGACCACCCUUGUAAACCGCUUCCUAGGCCCAAAGAAUGCUCAUAGAGUGCUACUCGGGCUGGCAGAUCCAACCUCACAGAUCCCUCGUCCUUUAGCUUCCACCCCCUCUGCCACCUGUCUUCCUGCCGUAACUCCAGAGAACGUAUCACAGGAGGAACUCAUGGUUUCUUUGGUAACGAGUUUAGCUUCACUAACAUCACGGACCUCUAUGAGCAUCAUCAUCGUUGGAGGAGUGGCAAGUAGCAUUUGCAACCACCUCUAUAAAUGGAAAGCAUGGCAGAGACUCUUCCAGAUGUACUCUUUUUACUGUUUGGGAUGCCAUCACUGCUGCAUAGAAUUGAUGCUUGCUUGUUAGAAUCAGUCUAAUUAGCAAUGGGCCUAGUCCCCAGAUGGCAAGAAUCAGGAUAGCUCCAUUCAACUCAUGACUUAAAUAGAACUAUGUCUAAUGAAGUUAGUCUUACUAAACAAUAAGUACACUUUCCUUUCAUGUGCUUGGUAAGCCCCUUGCAAUCACAGGUGAAAUCUAAAAAUUUGUAUUUAGCAUAGUAAAGAAUUGUUUGCUAAUCAGUUUAGCCAGGGUUUCUUUGUAAAUGGCUACAGAAUAGUUAAUUUAAGAUACUUAAACUGAGUGAUCGGUUUAUUAGAUUUCUUUGAUAUCCAUUGUUUUUUUUUAAAUUUACUCUUCAUAGGCAAAGGCUCCAGGAAUCAGUCAUGCUGUACCCUGACCUAUAUGAUGCUACAUCAUGGUUCCAAUCCUGCAACCCUUACUUAUGUGAAUUAGGGUUGCAAGAUCUGUGGCAUCAGAACCACUUUGCAAAUGGGGUAUCUGGAUAAAUACUUUUUGUCUAAUGCAGCAAAAUAUUUACAUCUUCAUGGCUAAAUAGCACUGCAGUAAGGAGUAUAAAGUGCAUUAAAUGCUCGUAGUAAGUAUGUAAUAAGAAAACUGGCUGAGUAGGGUCAUGUCGGAGCCUAUAUUUAUUCCAUAUAAAUGUGCUCCGUUUCUAAAUUAUAAACUGUAUUUGAUUUUUUUGUCAGGCUCAGUUUGGAAUUGCUGAGAGCUUUGCUUUCUGCCUCUUACUUUAUCACUAGCAAUCAAGAUUCUGUAAUAUGAAUCUAGCUAAACAGUUCUGCAGCUGAUGCACAAGGUGAAGAGGCUCUAGCUCCUUAUGUAGCUGUGUUGCUCUGCAGUGCUAUCUGGAUGAAAAACAUGUUUUGUUAAUCCAGUCGGACAGAAAGGUGUGGAGAACUGUAGGCUGGAAACUCAUCUGUCUUUCCCUAAGUAUGUAUGGAUUAUUGUAUCUCUAUGAGAAACUAACCUGGACAACUAAAGCAAAAGAGAGAGCCUUUAAACAGCAGUUCGUAAACUAUGCU
Molecule: RNA transcript, 4819 nt
Organism: Dermochelys coriacea (leatherback sea turtle)
Lineage: Eukaryota; Metazoa; Chordata; Testudines; Dermochelyidae
Gene name: mitofusin-1
Exons: 22
Source: RefSeq, a predicted model, not a curated record